CGUCUGGGGAAUGGCUUGGCUCAGGAGCCGACGAAGGUCGUGCCAAGCUGCGAUAAGCCUCGUGUAGGCGCAAGGAGCCUUUGAUACGAGGAUCACCGAAUAGGACUUCCGACAUGGGCAACCCCAUGUGUCCCGUAAGGGUCGGGAACCCCCCGAAUUGAAGCAUCUUAGUAAGGGGAGGAAAAGAAAUCAAUCGAGAUGCCGUAAGUAAAGGCGAUCGAAAGCGGCACAGGGCAAACCGAAUCCCCCGUCGAAAGACGGGGGAGAUGUGGAGUUUUGGACCCGGGCACUCCGUGCUGGUGAACUCGAACUCCGCCUGACACGGCCGGCCAUAGAGGGUGACAGCCCCGUAGAGGCAAGCCGUAGGAGAUUCCGGGUAUCCCGAGUAACGUGCGCUGGAUAUCGCGCGUGAAUUUGGGAGGCAUGAACUUCCAACUCUAAAUACAUCCUGAGACCGAUAGCGCAUUAGUAGCGUGAGCGAAGACUGAAAAGUAAACUUGACGGGAAGUGAAAAGAGCCUGAAACCAGACGAUAACAGGCGUGUGCAGCGCAAAAGGUCUUCGACCGGCGUUGCACUGUCCGUGUUGAAAAACGGGCCAGGGAGUUCUGGUCAAUGGCGAGGUUAAGCCGUAUCAUCGGCCUAGCCGCAGGGAAACCGAAUGUCCGCAGCCGCAAGGCGAGGGACGGGGUGCGUUCGCCCCCAGUCAUUGGCGGGAGACCCGAAGCCAGUCGAUCUAUACCUGGCUAGGUUGAAGCCCUGGGAAACCAGGGUGGAGGACCGAACCGAUACUGAUGUGCAAAUCGUUCGGAUUAGCUGGGCAUAGGGGUGAAAGUCCAAUCGAGGUUGGGAAUAGCUGGUUCCUCCCGAAACUACUCGCAGGUAGGUCUCGGUCGAGGUAGGCGGUGCGGUAGAGCCACCGAUCAGGUGUUUAGCGGCCGAAAGGCCGCGGCACCUUGUCGAACUCCGAACGUGCCGCCGCCGCAGAAGCCGGGAAUCAGGGCAUCUGGGGUAAGCUCGGUGUCCGCAAGGGGAACAGCCCGGCCCGGAGUUAAGGUCCCCAAGUGCUGGCUAAGUGUUAAUCUAAAAAGGGCGUCCACGGUCUCAGACAACUAGGAGGUGGGCUCAGAAGCAGCCAUCCUUUAAAGAGUGCGUAACAGCUCACUAGUCGAGACUGCGGGCCUCUAAAAUGGACGGGGCUAAGCCAGCCACCGAUACUCCGGAGCACCGCAAGGUGAUCUGGUAGGGAGGCGUCGUGCGCGGGUCGAAGUAGGGCCGUGAGGUCCUAUGGACCGCGUUCGAAUGCGGAUCCUGGUAGGAGUAACAGCGAAGAUGGGUGAGAAUCCCAUCCGCCGAAAGGGCAAGGGUUCCUCGGCAAUGUUCGUCAGCCGAGGGUUAGUCGGUCCUAAGGGUUCUCUUAAUCGAGGAACUCGAAAGGGAAGCAGGUUUAAUAUUCCCGCACCACGUGGUUUUCGUCCAGCUUCUGACGCAUCGGGAUAAGCCUUGCAGGCUCACCAGCCUGCUCGAGCGCUAUAGUCCCCGGAGAGCCGUAAUGGCGAGAAGGGGGUGAAGGCGCAAGUGAAGGUGCACUCCGAUUGGCCUAUUUCCCGGUGCCCGUGAAAAGGAAGCUGGAGCCACCCGCGUGACCGUACCUAGAACCGACACUGGUGCCCCUGGGUGAGAAGCCCAAGGCGUCGUGGAUAUAAUCUUCGCGAGGGAACUCGGCAAAAUCGCCCCGUACCUUCGGAAGAAGGGGUGCCAGCCAUGCAAAUGGCUGGUGGCACUGACAAGGGAACACCGUCUGUUUAAUAAAAACGCAUGUCAGCGCAAGCCGGAAACGGUGAGUAUGCUGGCUGAAGCCUGCCCAGUGACGGUAUCUGAAAACCGGGUUCAACCGGACGAAGGACCGUUAAACGGCGGGGGUAACUAUGACCCUCUUAAGGUGACCGUGUUGCCUUAAUAAAAGUCGACCAUAUGCUGGAACAGCUGAGUAUCCCGCACUACCGCGCUCCACCUCCACCGUACCCUCCUGCAAAGGGGGAUAUGGUUGGAGGUUGGGUAGAGCACGGUGAAAAUGUGACGGGUGCAGCCAAUCAGCAGGAAAGGCUGGAGAAAUCCAGAAUCCUCAGAGACUGGAUGUCGACCUCCCCGAUGGGAGAAGGUACAGUCCGACCCUCACAGCGAUGUGAGGAGGUCGCGGGAGACCGCGGCCCGCCUUCCGGAAGGAAGGUCCUUGAAGCAACAGCGUGAGCGUAAUACCUUGCCGCUUAAUUGGCGGCUUGCAUGAAGGCCCAACGAGUGUUCUACUGUCCCCGCGAAGAAUCCAGUGAAACUGAUAUACAGGCGUACAAUCCUGUACCUUCCUUCUGAAAGCGAAGACCCCGUAGAGCUUUACUGCAGCCUGUCGUUGUUGUACGAUUUCGAAUGUGUAGAGUAGGCGGGACCCGUUACCAGGGCGCGCCGCAAGGUGCGUUCCGAGGGGCCGAUGAAACACCGCCCUUUUGGGGUUGUACAACUAACCGCCUCGGCGGGACACCGGUAGGUAGGCAGUUUGGGUGGGGCGCCACGCCCUCAAAAAGAUAACAAGGGCGCCCAAUGGUCGGCUCAGGUAGGUCAGAAAUCUACCGUUGACUGCAAGGGGAAAAGCCGGCUUGACGCGGUUCUGCUCAACGAGGAACCGCGAUGCGAAAGCAGGGCCUAGCGAACCACUGAGCCCUAUUCGUGGGGGCCAGUGAUAACAGAAAAGUUACCUCGGGGAUAACUGAGUUGUCGCCAGCAAGAGCCCAUAUCGACCUGGCGGCUUGCUACUUCGAUGUCGUCUCUUCCUAUCCUGGCGGUGCAGCAGCUGCCAAGGGUGGGGUUGUUCGCCCAUUAAAAGGGAUCGUGAGAUGGGUUUAGACCGUCGUGAGACAGGUUUGUUGCUUUUUGAAGGAAGUGCGUUGGUGCCUGAGGGGAAGGAGCCUCCAGUACGAGAGGAACGAGGCUUCAUGGCCACUAGUGCAUCUGUUGUCCGGUAGGGCAUUGCAGAGCAGCCACGCCGUGGCGGAUAAAGGCUGAAAGCAUCUAAGCCUGAAACCGUCCCUAAAACGAGGCACCUUCGAGGGCUCCCAUAGAAGAUGGGGUUGAUAGAGCUGGGGUGUAAGCC
This 3143-nucleotide ribosomal RNA is filed under the name Methanobacteriota archaeon. RNAcentral describes it as "Euryarchaeota archaeon (freshwater metagenome) 23S ribosomal RNA". It matches the Rfam family "Archaeal large subunit ribosomal RNA". Lineage: Archaea; Methanobacteriati; Methanobacteriota. The record is from RNAcentral.